Molecule: ribosomal RNA, 199 nt
Filed under: uncultured Streptococcus sp.
Lineage: Bacteria; Bacillati; Bacillota; Bacilli; Lactobacillales; Streptococcaceae
Description: partial 16S ribosomal RNA
Rfam family: Bacterial small subunit ribosomal RNA
Source: RNAcentral
ACUCCUACGGGAGGCAGCAGUAGGGGGAACUCCGCAAUGGGCGAAAGCCUGACGGAGCAACGCCGCGUGAGUGAAGAAGGUCUUCGGAUCGUAAAACUCUGUUAUUAGGGAAGAACAAAUGUGUAAGUAACUAUGCACGUCUUGACGGUACCUAAUCAGAAAGCCACGGCUAACUACGUGCCAGCAGCCGCGGUAAUAC